GCGCCGCGCAUCGGCCCGCGUGCGUCAAUGAUAUUGAUAAAUCCGCAUUUAUUGUGGUACCAGUAUGUAGGUAACCAGGGGUGUAUUCCAGAAAGCAGGGUUAACUUACAGUCAACUAAACCCUGAACUCUGGGUUGAUUAACCCAAACCUUGCUUACACUGGGUAUGUCGGUUCCAGAACACGUUUGAAGAGUAAGUUUAAUCAACCUCACGAAAGAUACCCUCAGGUAACGCGCGCUCACAGAAACAACAUGAAGACAUUUGCUGCAUCCGAAAUCGCAUAUUGUCACAGUAUGUACUGAAUUUGAAUAAGUACCUAUGUAUCGGCCGUUAAAACAGUACGUUCUUAGUAUGAGUGGAAGAAGUAUGAAUACAUUUCAGACAUACUGCGUCCGCCAUGUUUUAUGGUCAUGUGACCCGUAUGCUCUUUGACCUAUCACGUAUUAACAACAACCUACACGUGAGAGUUGAUAAAACAUAAUUUUGUCAUGAGAAAUUAAUUUAUUGGCACUUACAUUAAAAACGGACGUCUGCCUUAAGGUUUUCCGCUAUAUUUAUUUGAUUUAAAUUUGACCGUUGCUCAGCACCUGUGGCAUCAUGUGAUAGAGAAGUGUCCAUCCGAUCCACAGGCUGCGUCCAAAUACCCCCACUUGCGGUCUUUGCACUUGACCACUUAACUACUUUCAUGACGUAUUUCCUGUUUUUGGCCCAAGUGUUCUACUGGGCGUGAAGAUCCCAAGUGAGCAUGAAAGAUUUCUAACCGGAUGGGACACACUUAGCAAGUGCAAACAUAUAACGUUAAUUAAUGUGCUGUUUCUAAUUAUGCGAUAAAAAGCAGUUUUACAAAAUACAUAACUGUGGAGUUUUCACCAAUAAAAUGUGUAACACUACGUUUUACUACGAAAUUAUAUGUAAUAUCUAAUUAUAUAGUCAAGUCAGAUUUAUCUUUAUAGUGCUUUGUUUGUAUCGUAUCAAAGCAGCUGUAUACCCAAAAAAGCAAAACCAAAAGUAAAACACAUGUUAGCCAAACAAAAGUAGUUGUAUAACUUACACUGGAAAGCUUUCCACAACAUCUCGCAAGACCCGAGCAAAAAGUCUCAUGAUAUAUCCAGAAUGUGAUGCAUGAUGGGAUACACUUAGCCCUGAAUACCGUGGAUUCGUGUGAACCAUUUAUUAAUGUUGCAUUUUCACAGGUUACUAACGUUCAUAACUCAUGAAUAAAUGGUUCACAGUUGUUUGAAGUUGUGAAUGAAUACUUCACAGACAUCCACUUUUCUUUAAAGUGCCCUUUCAUGGGAUGUCAAUACUUCUAAAUGUACACUGUUAGUAUUUUUACAGUUACUUACUCCAAAAUUCCCAGUAAAAUGCUAUAAUCUUUUUUUACUAUUAAUUACUGUAAUAUGCCAUUGCAUUAUGGGUAUUUUAUGAAGUAACAUUGUAAUUUACAGUGACAUACUGUAUUUUGGAAAUUUACAGUACUCUACUGUUGACACAACCACAGUAGUGCUACUGUAUUUGAAGACCUUUAUCAGUGAAAAUACUAAAAAUAUGUCACUUAAAAUUUUGCAUAUAGAAACAUUUUAAAAGUGUAAUUGGAAACUGUUUAAGAAACAGGAAAUCGAUAAUUAAAGCAUGCGAGCGUGAAGCCAAAUUUGAACUGACUAAUUUGAACUGACUACUGGUAAAGCGUAUUUUAGUGUAAAAACCGCGGAGCUGACAAUCCUGGCCUGAGCAUGACCGUUGGUCUGACUGAGAGCGACACCUGUGGGAAUGAGCGGCUGACAGCAGGUAAGAACUGCUAAAAAAUGUGUUUUCUGUAAAAUACCUUGCGAAACGUUAAUAAGUGUACUUUAGUUUCGCUUUGUUGAAAUUAAAUAUUAAUGUUGAUGCUGAGGAGAAAUAUUUCCCAAAUUUAACAUGCAACAGUGGAACAGUAAAACAGCCAAAAUGCAGUUUUAAGACAGUUUAGGCGAGAAUGUUUUUAAAGUUCAAAUCUGCAGUCGGUUAAUAAAUAUAGUGUCUUUUUUAAAAAUAAUUGUUUGGACGAAUUCGGAGAUAUGAGCUCCAGGCAGUCACCGGGCGCUCAGAGCUCAUGUAACUUACCCCGCCCAACGCAGCCUCACCACGGCAAGUGCUUCUUUAUUUACCGCUGGCUCUGAUGUCUCUGUAGCGGUUAACCAUGAGAUAAAUUAAUGAGAUAAUUAAUCAUGCUUAUAUGUUUAUGACAACAAUAAAAUCAUUCAGACAUUGCUACGUGUAAUAUCAGGGUUUGUGUGUCUAAGUUUCGUGAUUUUAGACGCUCCAAAUGAGUGCUUUAAUCAUGUUUUCAUGAUCGGUUUAAAUCCGCUGGCUAAGCGGCUAAUGUUUAUGCACUUUAUUUCGGUAAUCUGCUGCUACAUACUGUAUAAUAAAAUAAGAUAUUGUUUGUAAUUAUUACAGGUCCAUAUCUGUCACGGUUCUGCCUUCUUGUUUCUGAACUUCUAGUCGUGUGGCAGGAUCGGGACAGAGCCCUUAGGUUUUAUGUGAGAAAGCCAUGAGUUGUUUACAUUUUUACAUCUCAUGUGCUUUCUCGUGUCUUGUCAUUGGCCCCGCCCCUCUCAUUUCAUGUAUUGCCUCCCUGCCCUGUCUAAUGUUUCCCACCUGCCCUGUGUUAUUAUCCCUGUUUGUGUUCCCUUUAAAAGAUCCGCUUGUUUCAUUGUCCUGUGCUCGUUGAUUGUUUGUGCUGCGUUCUACGUUUUUUGAUAUAUCCUGUGCUCACCUGUUUUCCCCAUGUCGUGUUCCUGUUUGGAUUGUCCUGUCAAGUCUAGUAAGUGUUUAGUUUAGUUUGUCAAGUUAUGUUUAGUUUAGUGGUUAGUUAGUUACGUCCCUGUUUACUUAUAUUGUUUUCUCGUUCUUGUUUACACCCCAUCGUGGGUUUCUUGUUUUGUGUUUUUGUUAUAAUAAAAUCUGUCUUGUUAACCCCUGCAACCCCGCCUGCCUGCAAUUGGGUUCUUCCCACGCCAGUCGUGACACAUAUCACUAACACAAUGUGAUAUCUCAGUAUUAUGCUGCUGUAUUUAUACAUUUAUAUGACGUUACAUAUUUAUACUAUACUAGUGGUGUUCAAACUGUUUAUUCAUUUGUACAUUGUUGUAUUGUUUCCAGAAACUACCUCAGAUGCUCACAAGUGUGUGUGGUCAUAUGCUGCAUAAUAAAGGCAAAGAAUCAUCUGAUGACUCCACUCCCUGAGUUCUGGCAGAGCCUUAAAUGGAACUAAGACAUUUAAGCCUGCUCUGUGACAUGGACUGUGAAAGCAGAGGAAUAUACAGUACAACUACCAGGUUGCAAUCAUUGCCAUUCUUCUGUUGAUGAGGUGGCCUACUUCAAGAAGAGCCAACAUCCACCAAGAUGCCUGAAGUGACAACACAGGCCAAGUUAUCAUGCUAGGUCUCAUUUUAAAUGUCUAUGUAAAAAAUCCAGUGGCUCUCGGUCGAGGGAACCAGUGCGGCACUAACUAAAAAAACAUCAUCCAUAUCAUCUGUCUAGCAAUGAACCGGUGCCAGUUCAACGCCAGCACAGAGACAAGCCUAGAAUGGAUCUUGUAAGCGUUGUGCCUGUAGGCUCAUUAACAUCAUCCUGGUGUGUUUUGUUGUAAUAGAUUUUGAACCAAAAUAUUGGCUGCAUUUACAGUGUUCAACCUAUUGUUAGAUUAUUCUUAAAGAUACUGUUAUAUUGUUAUGAUUUCAUCAGUUGUCAUCAGGCAUUGUUGUAUCACAU
This is a long non-coding RNA of Triplophysa rosa, 3756 nucleotides long. RefSeq lists it as uncharacterized. The transcript has 5 exons. The record is from RefSeq and is a predicted model, not a curated record. Lineage: Eukaryota; Metazoa; Chordata; Actinopteri; Cypriniformes; Nemacheilidae.